Molecule: signal recognition particle RNA, 97 nt
Filed under: Nevskiaceae bacterium
Lineage: Bacteria; Pseudomonadati; Pseudomonadota; Gammaproteobacteria; Nevskiales; Nevskiaceae
Description: Sinobacteraceae bacterium signal recognition particle sRNA small type
Rfam family: Bacterial small signal recognition particle RNA
About the family: The signal recognition particle (SRP) is a universally conserved ribonucleoprotein involved in the co-translational targeting of proteins to membranes.
Source: RNAcentral
CGCCGGUGCCUCCGCGACGGUGAUCCGUGAACCCCGCCAGGCCCGGAAGGGAGCAACGGUAGCGGUGCUGCUGGGUGCCGGAGUGUCGCUGGCGCGG